GAGUUUGAUCGUGGCUCAGAUUGAACGCUGGCGGCAUGCCUUACACAUGCAAGUCGAACGGCAGCAUGAUCUAGCUUGCUAGAUUGAUGGCGAGUGGCGAACGGGUGAGUAAUACAUCGGAACGUGCCCUGUAGUGGGGGAUAACUAGUCGAAAGAUUAGCUAAUACCGCAUACGACCUGAGGGUGAAAGUGGGGGACCGCAAGGCCUCAUGCUAUAGGGGCGGCCGAUGUCUGAUUAGCUAGUUGGUGGGGUAAAGGCCCACCAAGGCGACGAUCAGUAGCUGGUCUGAGAGGACGAUCAGCCACACUGGGACUGAGACACGGCCCAGACUCCUACGGGAGGCAGCAGUGGGGAAUUUUGGACAAUGGGCGAAAGCCUGAUCCAGCAAUGCCGCGUGUGUGAAGAAGGCC
This 411-nucleotide ribosomal RNA is filed under the name uncultured microorganism. RNAcentral describes it as "bacterial SSU rRNA". It matches the Rfam family "Bacterial small subunit ribosomal RNA", at positions 9 to 416 of the family's 1533-position model. The record is from RNAcentral.